AAAACGGAGGAAAAGAAACCAACAGGGAUUGCUCUAGUAACGGCGAGUGAAGCAGCAAUAGCUCAAAUUUGAAAUCUGGCGUCUUCGACGUCCGAGUUGUAAUUUGUAGAGGAUGCUUCUGAGUAACCACCGACCUAAGUUCCUUGGAACAGGACGUCAUAGAGGGUGAGAAUCCCGUAUGCGGUCGGAAAGGUGCUCUACACGUAGCUCCUUCGACGAGUCGAGUUGUUUGGGAAUGCAGCUCUAAAUGGGAGGUAAAUUUCUUCUAAAGCUAAAUAUUGGCCAGAGACCGAUAGCGCACAAGUAGAGUGAUCGAAAGAUGAAAAGCACUUUGGAAAGAGAGUUAAAAAGCACGUGAAAUUGUUAAAAGGGAAGGGAUUGCAACCAGACUUGCUCGCGGUGUUCCGCCGGUCUUCUGACCGGUCUACUCGCCGCGUUGCAGGCCAGCAUCGUCUGGUGCCGCUGGAUAAGACUUGAGGAAUGUAGCUCCCUCGGGAGUGUUAUAGCCUCUUGUGAUGCAGCGAGCGCCGGGCGAGGUCCGCGCUUCGGCUAGGAUGCUGGCGUAAUGGUCGUAAUCCGCCCGUCUG
Molecule: ribosomal RNA, 587 nt
Filed under: Cladosporium cladosporioides
Lineage: Eukaryota; Fungi; Ascomycota; Dothideomycetes; Cladosporiales; Cladosporiaceae
Description: partial large subunit ribosomal RNA
Rfam family: Eukaryotic large subunit ribosomal RNA
Source: RNAcentral